UCCUCUUCCGGUGUCUGAGCUGCUGUGGUCCCUACGUGUUGAGUAGGAUGUGUGCAGAGAACGUCAGCGGAGGCUUCCACAGUCCCUGACUACGGCCGGACGGGACCCUGCGGAGGGGUGCUGCCUGUCUCUAAAAAAAGGAUCCUGAGAGAGGAAAGAAUUUUUGUUACACAUCUAAAAGUUAAAGUCCAGCCCUGGCUUCUCUGAACUCUGCUUCUCUAGUAGAGGAAACGUGAGGAGGAUCGGCAGCCCUAAAACCAUGGCCCAGGUAAGUAGAUGCCUCUUUCUCCUUCCUGAAAUAGUAUGAUUUUUAAUUCAUGUAAUAUUUUCAUUCUUUAUCGCUGUCAACACAGAUAAUCAAUAACCAACCUAUAGGUAAGAUUGAUCUUAUUGAUCCAAUGCUGAGGACUAGCCCAGAAGUGCAGUCUCCACCAGGGAAGACAGCACUCCAGAGAAGUGUGGUUUUCAGCAUGGUUAUAUCCCAUUUCAGAACAAAGAACAUACACCAAGCAUGACGGGAAUACAAUUUUUUCCCCAAAGUCACAAGGAGACGUUUUGCUGCAAUUUAGCAGAUACACAACAGGUCAACUUGACCUUGGUUCUCUGGGAAGAAAAGCUGAUCUUCAGAGAAUGACUGAUACUGGUGUCAGAGGAAGGGAGACUUUCACCCCUAUCUUUAAAGAGUGCAUUCUUCGCUUUGGGAAAAAGUUUGAAGCAGAUGUACAGUGCACCUUUGGUGGGCUAUAAGUCAGGCUGCUAUGGGAAAAACAAGUUUUCGGUUGAAUCAGGGUUAAGCCAGAAUGCUUCCCCAAAUACCUCAAUAUGUGAAAACAUUAUUAUUAUUAUUAUUAUUACUAUAAUAUUGUCAUCCCCUAAGCUCCUACCUAGCGAAGCUGUGUCUCUGAACCUAUUUCAGAGUUUCUCCCCUUCCAGAAGGGUGGUGUCCUCCCCAUUUGCUCCCUUGUUUUGAAUGAUUUGCACUUACCCAUCAAUAAUUCAUUCAUCUUCUGUGUAUUCAGUCUCCUGUCCAGACCAGGGCUGGAGCAGUGAAGGAGUGAGGCACUUGGAAGGAAGUGUUUGAGCUUCGCUUGUCAGCUUCGUGGUUUCAUGAUAUGGAGGCGAUGGUCCUGUUUGACCACA
Non-coding RNA from Equus caballus (horse), 1140 nucleotides. NCBI's taxonomy places the organism in Eukaryota, Metazoa, Chordata, Mammalia, Perissodactyla, Equidae. The record is from RefSeq and is a predicted model, not a curated record.